This 181-nucleotide small RNA is filed under the name Olea europaea subsp. europaea. Lineage: Eukaryota; Viridiplantae; Streptophyta; Magnoliopsida; Lamiales; Oleaceae. The record is from RNAcentral.
ACGACCUUACUUGAGCAGAUCUGUUCUAUAGGUUUGUACUUCUGCAUCCUUGAGUUCUAAGUCAUUUAUUAUGUCACAAAAUGUUGUAGGUCAAAACUGGGGGGAAAAAAAAGAAAUUUGUCCAACGAAAAUAAACAAUUGUAAAAAUUACCUUAUAUCACUCGAUUGUGUUAGACAACUU